AACUUUUAGUAUUGUUUCUCGUAUAGGCAUCAAAUUUUCUGCUGGGAUUGCAGCAUCCACCAGUUCCAAUACACUAACAAUAAUCCCAAAAGAACACGUUAAACAAGGAGAUACAUCGUAAAAUCACAAAAGCCAAUUUCUCUAAUGUCAUUCAAGAACUCUUAUUUUUUUUUUUUUGAGUUUAAAACAAAAGUUUCACUUCAGCACUUAAAAUUAUGAAACAAAGAUGGAUGUUGUUUUGAAAAAGUUAUAAUUGAAGGAUUAUCCCCCAUAAAUAGAAAAAAGGAACACAAUUGGUUUACAGGGGCCAAAAUUAUGUUCUUGUACAAUAAAAUUGAAUCAAAGAACUAACCAAAGAAUAAACAUAAGUGCCUGUUAGUUCAAAACAAAAUCCAAUCAGGAAAACUAGGGAAAUGCCUUUUUAUGAGAAAUCUGGCUGAAUGAGCUUUGAAAUCCACUCAAAAAGACUUUGAUAUAAGUUAGAUUGCUAUAAUCUUAUGGACAAACCAAAAGAACCACAGCUAAGGUCAAAGAAAACAAGUAAAAGAAAAGGAAAGGAAGUGGAAACUCAAGACUGGAUG
This 581-nucleotide long non-coding RNA is filed under the name Citrus sinensis (sweet orange). RNAcentral describes it as "long non-coding RNA (CSIN_LNC005784)". Lineage: Eukaryota; Viridiplantae; Streptophyta; Magnoliopsida; Sapindales; Rutaceae. The record is from RNAcentral.